Molecule: ribosomal RNA, 402 nt
Filed under: uncultured eukaryote
Lineage: Eukaryota
Description: SSU rRNA
Rfam family: Eukaryotic small subunit ribosomal RNA
Source: RNAcentral
CCAGCAGCUGCGGUAAUUCCAGCUCUAAUAGCAUAUAUUAAAGUUGUUGCAGUUAAAGAGCUCGUAGUUGGAUUUCUGAUCAAGGUAAUGUUCGAGGCUUCGGUCUCUGUUCAACACUUUGGUCAUCCAUGGGGAAUUUCAGUAUGACAUUCACUUGUUGUAUUGAGGUCUCCCCAUCCUUUACUGUGAGUAAAUUAGAGUGUUCAAAGCAGGCUUAUGCCGUUGAAUAUUAUUAGCAUGGAAUAAUAAGAUAUGACUUUGGUGGUCUAUUUUGUUGGUUUGUACACCAAGGUAAUGAUUAAUAGGGAUAGUUGGGGGUAUUCGUAUUCAAUUGUCAGAGGUGAAAUUCUUGGAUUUAUGGAAGACGAACUACUGCGAAAGCAUUUACCAAGGAUGUUUUCA